GGGUUGUGAGGUUAAGCGACUAAGCGUACACGGUGGAUGCCCUGGCAGUCAGAGGCGAUGAAGGACGUGCUAAUCUGCGAUAAGCGUCGGUAAGGUGAUAUGAACCGUUAUAACCGGCGAUUUCCGAAUGGGGAAACCCAGUGUGUUCCGACACACUAUCAUUACGUGAAUACAUAGCGUAAUGAAGCGAACCGGGGGAACUGAAACAUCUAAGUACCCGAGGAAAAGAAAUCAACCGAGAUUCCCCAGUAGCGGCGAGCGAACGGGGAGCAGCCCAGAGUCUGAAUCAGCUUGUGUGUUAGUGGAACGGUCUGGAAAGUCCGACGGUACAGGGUGAUAGUCCCGUACACCAAAAUGCACAGGUUGUGAACUCGAAGAGUAGGGCGGGACACGUGGUAUCCUGUCUGAAUAUGGGGGGACCAUCCUCCAAGGCUAAAUACUCCUGACUGACCGAUAGUGAACCAGUACCGUGAGGGAAAGGCGAAAAGAACCCGGCGAGGGAGUGAAAAAGAACCUGAAACCGUGUACGUACAAGCAGUGGGAGCCUCUUUAUGGGGUGACUGCGUACCUUUUGUAUAAUGGGUCAGCGACUUAUAUUCUGUAGCAAGGUUAACCGUAUAGGGGAGCCGAAGGGAAACCGAGUCUUAACUGGGCGUUAAGUUGCAGGGUAUAGACCCGAAACCCGGUGAUCUAGCCAUGGGCAGGUUGAAGGUUGGGUAACACUAACUGGAGGACCGAACCGACUAAUGUUGAAAAAUUAGCGGAUGACUUGUGGCUGGGGGUGAAAGGCCAAUCAAACCGGGAGAUAGCUGGUUCUCCCCGAAAGCUAUUUAGGUAGCGCCUCGUGAACUCAUCUUCGGGGUAGAGCACUGUUUCGGCUAGGGGGUCAUCCCGACUUACCAACCCGAUGCAAACUGCGAAUACCGAAGAAUGUUAUCACGGGAGACACACGGCGGGUGCUAACGUCCGUCGUGAAGAGGGAAACAACCCAGACCGCCAGCUAAGGUCCCAAAGUCAUGGUUAAGUGGGAAACGAUGUGGGAAGGCACAGACAGCCAGGAUGUUGGCUUAGAAGCAGCCAUCAUUUAAAGAAAGCGUAAUAGCUCACUGGUCGAGUCGGCCUGCGCGGAAGAUGUAACGGGGCUAAACCAUGCACCGAAGCUGCGGCAGCGACACUAUGUGUUGUUGGGUAGGGGAGCGUUCUGUAAGCCGUUGAAGGUGUAUCGUGAGGUAUGCUGGAGGUAUCAGAAGUGCGAAUGCUGACAUAAGUAACGAUAAUGCGGGUGAAAAACCCGCACGCCGGAAGACCAAGGGUUCCUGUCCAACGUUAAUCGGGGCAGGGUGAGUCGACCCCUAAGGCGAGGCCGAAAGGCGUAGUCGAUGGGAAACAGGUUAAUAUUCCUGUACUUGGUGUUACUGCGAAGGGGGGACGGAGAAGGCUAUGUUAGCCGGGCGACGGUUGUCCCGGUUUAAGCAUGUAGGCGGAGGUUCCAGGUAAAUCCGGUACCUUUUUAACGCUGAGGUGUGAUGACGAGGCACUACGGUGCUGAAGUAACAAAUGCCCUGCUUCCAGGAAAAGCCUCUAAGCAUCAGGUAACACGAAAUCGUACCCCAAACCGACACAGGUGGUCAGGUAGAGAAUACCAAGGCGCUUGAGAGAACUCGGGUGAAGGAACUAGGCAAAAUGGUGCCGUAACUUCGGGAGAAGGCACGCUGAUAUGUAGGUGAAGCGGUUUACCCGUGGAGCUGAAAUCAGUCGAAGAUACCAGCUGGCUGCAACUGUUUAUUAAAAACACAGCACUGUGCAAACACGAAAGUGGACGUAUACGGUGUGACGCCUGCCCGGUGCCGGAAGGUUAAUUGAUGGGGUUAUCCGUAAGGAGAAGCUCUUGAUCGAAGCCCCGGUAAACGGCGGCCGUAACUAUAACGGUCCUAAGGUAGCGAAAUUCCUUGUCGGGUAAGUUCCGACCUGCACGAAUGGCGUAAUGAUGGCCAGGCUGUCUCCACCCGAGACUCAGUGAAAUUGAACUCGCUGUGAAGAUGCAGUGUACCCGCGGCAAGACGGAAAGACCCCGUGAACCUUUACUAUAGCUUGACACUGAACACUGGUCCUUGAUGUGUAGGAUAGGUGGGAGGCUUUGAAGUGUGGACGCCAGUCUGCAUGGAGCCAUCCUUGAAAUACCACCCUUUAAUGGCUGGUGUUCUAACGUGGACCCGUGAUCCGGGUUGCGGACAGUGUCUGGUGGGUAGUUUGACUGGGGCGGUCUCCUCCUAAAGAGUAACGGAGGAGCACGAAGGUUAGCUAAUCCUGGUCGGACAUCAGGAGGUUAGUGCAAAGGCAUAAGCUAGCUUGACUGCGAGAGUGACGGCUCGAGCAGGUGCGAAAGCAGGUCUUAGUGAUCCGGUGGUUCUGAAUGGAAGGGCCAUCGCUCAACGGAUAAAAGGUACUCCGGGGAUAACAGGCUGAUACCGCCCAAGAGUUCAUAUCGACGGCGGUGUUUGGCACCUCGAUGUCGGCUCAUCACAUCCUGGGGCUGAAGUAGGUCCCAAGGGUAUGGCUGUUCGCCAUUUAAAGUGGUACGCGAGCUGGGUUUAGAACGUCGUGAGACAGUUCGGUCCCUAUCUGCCGUGGGCGCUGGAGAAUUGAGGGGGGCUGCUCCUAGUACGAGAGGACCGGAGUGGACGCAUCACUGGUGUUCGGGUUGUCAUGCCAAUGGCAUUGCCCGGUAGCUAAAUGCGGAAGAGAUAAGUGCUGAAAGCAUCUAAGCACGAAACUUGCCCCGAGAUGAGUUCUCCCUGAGACUAUAAGUCUCCUGAAGGAACGUUGAAGACGACGACGUUGAUAGGUCGGGUGUGUAAGUGUAGCGAUACAUUGAGCUAACCGAUACUAAUGAACCGUGAGGCUUAACCUUACAACGCCGAAG
This 2923-nucleotide ribosomal RNA is filed under the name Citrobacter sp. CF971. Its description in RNAcentral is "23S ribosomal RNA". It matches the Rfam family "Bacterial large subunit ribosomal RNA". The record is from RNAcentral. Lineage: Bacteria; Pseudomonadati; Pseudomonadota; Gammaproteobacteria; Enterobacterales; Enterobacteriaceae.